This 249-nucleotide ribosomal RNA is filed under the name Pseudacris maculata (boreal chorus frog). RNAcentral describes it as "partial 16S ribosomal RNA". Lineage: Eukaryota; Metazoa; Chordata; Amphibia; Anura; Hylidae. The record is from RNAcentral.
CCCGUGAAGAAGCGGGGAUAAACUUAUAAGACGAGAAGACCCUAUGGAGCUUUAAACUAAACUACACUUGCUUUUAUAUAUAAACAUUUUCAGAAUGAUUAAUACUUAUCUUAGCUUCAUGAUUUUUAGUUUUAGGUUGGGGUGACCGCGGAGUAAAAUAAAACCUCCACNNUGAAAGGGAUUUUGAACCCUGAGCAAUGAGUCACGACUCUAUGCACCAAUAAAUUGACAUCAAUUGACCCAAUACUU